Molecule: long non-coding RNA, 301 nt
Filed under: Mus pahari (shrew mouse)
Lineage: Eukaryota; Metazoa; Chordata; Mammalia; Rodentia; Muridae
Description: lncRNA (MGP_PahariEiJ_G0003251.1)
Source: RNAcentral
GAACAGCUCUGGCCUGGGAAAGUCUGGGUGGCUGCAGCAGAAGGCAUCUCUCAGUUCAGAGGUCCAGGUCAUCGGCCUGGCAAGGAUUCCUGUUUCCUGAACCUUCUCUUCCCACUCUGAGCAGAUUAGCUGAUCAAAUUGACUGAUCGCAUUGGACUGAGAGGUCAAGCACCCUCCAAUAGGAUAAGACAUAGUCAAAAUGCCAGGGAUAAAAGGCAAGAGCCUUUCUGGCCUCAGUGUGUUGCUACCACAGUUUGUGCUCAGGCAAACCACCUUUGAAAAAAGAAUUUCCUUGCCAGGG